GGUUGCUUAUCUGCAUAUUGUGGCCCUACCGUUCCCCCUCUCUCACAACAAAAAAGUAGUAAAAUGAAAAGCGACACAAAACAAUGAAAUGAAUAAGGCAACCUUCACCGAACAAAGUGCGGCCUUCAACGUUCCACUUUUAUACUCACCGUAUCGCUAAUGAGAAUGGGAUUCAUUACCUAGGAAGUAAGACAGGGUGUCCAGAGGAGAGUGUACAAUGGAAAAGACGGGUCACAUGGGGUUGUCUGAAGUUAGGACUGGGGACACCUUCUGACACGGCGGAGAUGAUCUGUGCAAGACUGGGUAUGACAGAUGCUGAACUCCAGUGUCCACACUCUGUUUUCCAGGAGUCUAUCCUAAAAGAAACCACCAGAGAGGAGGCUGAAGAUAGCCACUGUUAUUUACAAAUCCGCAAACUGGAAACAGCCCAACUGUCCAACAGCAGGGAUCUGCUACCAAAAAGCCAUGAUCCAGCAGGCCUAUGGCAAGUUUCUGACCACAGAGGGAAAGCAUGCCUGCCAUUAGGGCAAGCAGCAGCCGCACAGUGGACCGUGUGGUUUCAUCUAAGUUAUAAGUGUUUGCCUCUGGAUGUCUGCUCUUUUCCUGGAGCCUGUGGAAUCUUAGUUCCCUGACUAGGGAUAGAACCUGUGCCCCCUGCAGUGGAAGCAUGGAGUGGAGAAACAGUCAAGGAGUUCCCCAGAGUUCUACUACAAACACAAACAAACCUCAGAAAUAAAUGCCAGGUCUUGCACAGCCCCUUCCCCACCCCCCACCCCCAACAACUUAGGUCACAGAGCCUCUAGGAGUUCCAAAAGGGUUCAAACUAGCAAAGUUUUACUUUAAUGUUAUGUUUGCUCAUAAAUGGUUCUGAAAAAGCCGAUAUGCAAGAGGCUAACACGCUGUGUCUAAGGCAACAUCGAGGCCACUGUGAAUGUCCUUCAGACAAGGGGCUCUGCUCGAAAUCUCCCUGACUUGGGGCAGGGGCAGCAGGGGGGCUCUGGGACGGAUGAAUAAAUGUACACCAUCUCAGCUCUGCCAUCAGGGCUGGCUGCCCGGGACACUAAGGCAGUCGAUGGGAGGUGGACUGCUUGGAACUU
Cervus elaphus (red deer) is the source of this 1097-nucleotide long non-coding RNA. RefSeq lists it as uncharacterized. The record is from RefSeq and is a predicted model, not a curated record. The transcript is spliced from 3 exons. Lineage: Eukaryota; Metazoa; Chordata; Mammalia; Artiodactyla; Cervidae.